AACGUAGGACACAAGCGUUAUCCGGAGUUACUGGGCGUAAAGGGCGUGUAGGCGGAUUGGUAAGUCUAUUCUGAAAGCUCCUGGCUAAACUGGGAGAGGCGAAUGGAGACUGCCUGUCUAGAGUGAGGAAGAGGAAAGUGGAAUUCCGCGUGUAGUGGUGAAAUGCGUAGAUAUCUGGAGGAACACCGGUGGCGAAGGCGGCGUUCUGGACUGCAACUGACACUGAGGAACGAAAGCCAGGGGAGCAAACGGG
Molecule: ribosomal RNA, 253 nt
Filed under: uncultured bacterium
Lineage: Bacteria
Description: partial 16S ribosomal RNA
Rfam family: Bacterial small subunit ribosomal RNA
Source: RNAcentral